This 253-nucleotide ribosomal RNA is filed under the name uncultured bacterium. Its description in RNAcentral is "partial 16S ribosomal RNA". It matches the Rfam family "Bacterial small subunit ribosomal RNA", at positions 524 to 776 of the family's 1533-position model. The record is from RNAcentral.
UACGGGGGGGGCAAGCGUUGUUCGGAAUUAUUGGGCGUAAAGAGCUCGUAGGCGGUCUGUUGCGUCUGCUGUGAAAACUCGGGGCUUAACCCCGAGCCUGCAGUGGAUACGGGCAGACUAGAGGUAGGUAGGGGAGAAUGGAAUUCCCGGUGUAGCGGUGAAAUGCGCAGAUAUCGGGAGGAACACCGGUGGCGAAGGCGGUUCUCUGGGCCUUACCUGACGCUGAGGAGCGAAAGCGUGGGGAGCGAACAGG